This 11936-nucleotide long non-coding RNA is filed under the name Lupinus angustifolius (narrow-leaved blue lupine). Its description in RNAcentral is "long non-coding RNA (LANG_LNC000340)". The record is from RNAcentral. Lineage: Eukaryota; Viridiplantae; Streptophyta; Magnoliopsida; Fabales; Fabaceae.
UUUGUAAUAAAAUUUAUUUAAUCAAAUUGAGUUGUAUUUAUAACAUAACUCCUAUAUUGUAAAGAGAAUAAGAGAUAAAGUAUAUUAUUUGGUGCGAUACUAUUUGAAAGAGAUAGGGAGACAUAAUACUUUUGAGACAGAGGAUCAUGUUCCAGAGAUAAGUACUUGCAGGAACUAACCUGUCUCUACGUAACAAAUGUCUACAUUAAUUAAAUCUUUCAAUUAAUGAUAUACACAAUCAUUUUCUUGUGCUUUCAUAGUAUUAGAGCCAUGUAUCUAUUGUGCAUACAUUUUCCUUUCUUUUUCAUGUGUUUGUAUCACAAGAAGUUGAGCUUCAUCUUUAUCAUCACCAGAGGAGAGGAGGACUUACUUCUGGAAGAGGAGGCUGCACUUUGAAUAUGGCCAAUGAAAAAGUUAGUCAUCACGCCCAACUAUUGAAGAUGUCACAUCAUCUGUAUAAGGAAGAGCAAUGUGAAUUCCUCACUUCCCAAGUUACUUGCAUGUUUGGAUGUGUGUGAGAGAAGCUCAGAAUCGUUAGAUAUUCAAAGGAUUGUCAUCUGCAUAUAAAACUGCUUCUUGGCAAUUCUUUUCCUUGGCUGGAAUAGUCACAUUAAAGAACAUUAUUAUUAACAAAUCCACAAAGAUAUUUUCAGUGCUUCCAAAUGGUGGAAACUUGCAGUUGAGAUCAGCAAGUUCACAUUCAUCUCUAUUUUCAUUGUUGCUUAAAUGGUCGUUAUUGUCCUUCUUAGUUGAUGAUUUUUUAUCAUUUUCUUUUACCUCUAUAUUCUUGAGGCAAAAAUUAAUCAUAUUUCAUCAUAUUUUUUCUCUUGUUAUUCUUGAGCAAAAAUUAUCUAUAUUUCAUCAUAUUCUUCUUGAUACUCUAGAGUUAAAUAUUGUUUAUUUCAUCUCAUUUUUGGGCCAAGAAACCAAGAUAUAUACUCUUGAGCAAUAACAUCAUUGAGUCUUUUUUGAUAUUCUUUCUAUUGUAUUAAUUUUUGAUAAAUAAUAUUAUUACUUUCAAUUUCCCUAAAUUUCUUCUAUUCAAUAGUGUUUUUUGGGUAUUGUUUUAUGCAGUCCUUAAGUUGCACACUUUACAUUACACUAAAAAGAUAGAUACUUGUUCAUCUCUAUUCUAUUCAAUUCUUAAUGUUCAUGAAGGUUUCAAAGUGACAAGAACAAAAGAUAAGAAUCUAUGGAUAUUUCAGACUACACAAGGAUUGUGCCGAACAAAAUUUAGAAAUUUGAGCCCGAAUAUACUCUAAAGAUUAUUGGAUAUCUCCUAUUAUAAGACAAUGAAGACCUGCAUGUAUUUUGGAGCUUUCUUCAUUCAAUCAUCUUUGUUCAAAUUAAGAGUUGUCAACAUUCACUCUUUAGCUUGAGAGAGUUUUAAAAUAUAUUUUGGUAUUUUGGGUUAAUAAUUUAUUGGACUAGUAAUUAGUUGAAAUCCAAUUACCUAUUAGUUGAUUAGUUAGUUUUAUUUGUUAGAUUAGUUUGCUACCCCACUUUCGUGGGCACGACGGGAAUAAUGCAAAUAAAUGCAAUGUAGUUGUCAUCGAUGUUAAUUUAAGGUGACACGACAAGACACAAGUCCAAUAGUGCACUAACUCUUAUUGAUUUAAUUAACUUAUAUUUGAAAGUGUCAACUUAAGGUAAGGCGAAAGGGCACGAGUUCCAUAAUGCACUAUCUCACAUUAAUUUAAUCAAAUUAUUUUUUGAAAAUGUCAAUUUGAGGUAACGCGACAUGGCACUAGUCUUAUAGUACACUACCACUCCUUGAUUUAAUUAAAUUAUUUUUGAAAGUGUCAAUUUGAGGUAACACGAUAGGGCACUAGUCUCGUAGUGCAUUACCUCUCCUUGAUUUAAUUACAUUAUUUUUUGAAAAUGUUAAUUUGAGGUAACGCGAUAUGACAUAAGUCCAAUAAUGCAUUAUCUCUCCUUGAUUUAAUUAAAUUAUUUUUUUGAAAAUGUUAAUUUGAGGUAACGCGAUAGGGCACAAGUUCCAUAGUGCACUACUUCUCCUUGAUUUAAUUAAAUUAUUUUUUUUAAAUGAAAUUUUGAGGUAACGUGACAGGCCACAAGUCUCAUAGUGCACUACCUUCUCCAUGAUUUAAUUAAAUUAUUUUUUGAAAAUGUUAAUUUGAGAUAACACGACAGGGCACUGGUCCCAUAGAGCACUAGCUCUCUUUGAUUUAAUUACAUUAUUUUUAAAAAUAUCAAUUUGAGGUAAUGCGACACGGCACAAAUCUCAUAGUCCACUAUCUCUCCUUGAUUUAAUUAACUUACCUUUUACAUUGCAUUUCCUUAUAUAUAAACGCUUUAUUGAUUUAUAAAAGUGAAUAAAAUUAUAUACAUAAUAACUAAAUAAAAAUAAAUAAAUAAAACUUAAUAAUGAAAUAAUAAAAAACGAAAUAUAAUAAAAAAAUGAAAAAAAAUGCAAUAGUAACCAAAAACAAACAUAAUAAAGGGGAAAUUAAAAAUUGGGGAUUUAGGGUUAGGAUUUUGAAAUUGAUUUGAGAACUUAGGUAAAAACUGAUUUGGAUUUUAGGGUUAAAUUAAUUUGGGAAUUAGGUUUUAAAAUUUUAAUUAGGGAUUUGGUUAAAAUUAAUUGAAUUUGGUGAUUAGGGUUAAAUUGAAUUUGGAGUUUAGGGUUAGGGGUUACCACUAUGGUAACCCCUUUUCUGGAAUGGGCUGCUGGGACAGCAACGGUGGGAACCGCGGUGGCAACGACUCCACCGCCGGUUAUAGUGGUUAAACCACCAUGCUCUUGGGAUUAUAAGGAUGUGAGAUUAGGGUUGAAACCUUAAUCUGGUUGGGUCAUUUUGGCCCAACUCCUUUUCAAAAUUUUCCCGCCUUCACUUCAAAAAUUACUCAUCAAAUUCAACAUAUUUGAAAACCAAAUUAACCCCAGUCAAAAACCAAAUGAGACUACUAUGGGUCACAAGAUACGACACGAGACCACUAGGGGUCGGGUGCAAAGAGAGACCACAAGAACACACAGAUAAUAAGGAACUCUGGGUCGGAAACAAAAUGAGACCACUAAGGGGUCACAGGACACAACACGAGAUCACUGGGGUCUGGGUGCAAUGAGGACCAUGAAAACGCACAGAUAAUGAGGAAGAUUGGGUCGAAAACAAAAUGAGACCAAUGAGGGUCACAAGACACAACGCGAGACCACUAGGGGGUCAGGUGCAAAGAAAGACCAUAUGAACACACAGAUGAUGAGGAACUCUGGGUCAGAAAAAAAUGAGAAGACUAGAAGUGACAAGGCACAACACUAGACCACUAGGGGAUCUGGGUGCAAGGAGGACCACGGGAAUACACAGAAACUGAGGAACUACGGGUCAAGAAUAAAAUGACACCACUAGGGGUCACAAGGCACAACACGAGACCACUAGGGGUCUGGGUGCAAGGAAGACCACGAGAACACACAAAUAAUGAGGAACUCUGGGUCAAAAAUAAAAUGAGAGCAUUGGGGGGGUCAAAAAGGCACAAUACGAUACCAUUGGGGGGUCUAGGUUCAAGGAGGGCCACUAGAAUGCACAGAUAAUGAGGAACUCUAGGUCAAAAAUAAAAUGAGACUAGGGGGUCAAAAGGCACAACACGAGACUAUUGGUGGUCUGGGUGCAAGGAGGACUAUGAGAAUGCACAGAUAAUGAGGAACUUUGGGUCAAAAUUAAAUUGAGACCACUAGUGGGUCAAAAAGGCACAACACGAGACCAUUAGGGGAUCUGCGUCCAAGGAGGACCACAGGAGCACAUGGGUAAGGAGGAACUCUGGGUCAAAAAUAAAAUGAGACCACUCAAGGGUCAAAAGACACAACACGAGACCACUCGGGGUCUGGGUGCAAGGAGGACCAUGGGAACGCACAGAUAAUGAAGAACUUUGGGUCAAAAAUAAAAUGACACCAUUGGGGGGGGAGGUCAAAAGGUACAACAUGAGACCAUUGGGGGUCUAGGUGCAAGGAGGGCCAUGGGAACGCACAGAUAAUGAGGAGUUCUGGGUCAAAAGUACAAUGAGACCACUAGGGGGUCAAAAGGGCACAACACGAGACCAUUGGGGGUCCGGGUGCAAGGAGAAUCACAAAAACGCACAGAUAAUGAGAAACUCUAGGUGAAAAAUAAAAUUAGACCGUUGGGUGGUCAAAAGGCACAACAUGAGACCGCUAGGGGGUCUGGGUGUAAGCAGUACCACAAGAACGCAUGGAUAAUGAGGAACUUUGGGUCAAAAAUAAAAUAAGAUUACUGGGGGGUCAAAAUUCACAACACGAGACCACUAGGGGUCUAGGUGCAAGGAGGACCACGGGAUCGCACAAAUAAUGAGGAAAUAUAGGUCAAAUAUAAAAUGAGACCUCUAAGGUCGAAAGGCACAUCAUGACACCAUUGGGGUGUUUGGGUGCAUAGAGGACCAUGGGAACGCACAGAUAAUGAGGAACUCUGGGUCAAAAAUAAUAUGAGACCAUUAAGAGGUCAAGACUUUCUGCCAUGCGUGUAUAUGAUGGUGCGAAUGCAAAUGAUGCAUGAGUAAUACGAAGAUAUUUAUCAUGAUGCAUGUAUGAUGAGUUACACACAUGUGAUUAACUUAAUUAUCAUUAUGAAGUUUGAUUGAUAUAAAACCAUAACGCUUCCUCGGUAGACAACAACUAAUCAAGUCGGUAUUGAUCAUGUCCUAUUUCUCCCAAUAAUUUCAUAUUUCCUCCCAAAAAUCCCGAAACUUCUACAAUUCUAGCUUAAUGUGUAGACACGUGGAAGAUUCUAGUUUACCCCAAUAGUAAUAGACUUUCAAGAUAAUGGCAUUUUCAUUGCACUAACUUUUGCUUAGGUUUCCCUUUCGGGUUUUCAACCUAACAUGCUUUGAUUCAUAUCCUGAUUUUUUCUUAGGUUGCCCUUAUGGGUUUUCAGCCUAACAAGUUUCUCAUUCAUACUCUAACUUUUGCCUAGGUCACCCUUUCAAGUUUUCAACCUAACAUGUUUCUCAUUCAUACCCUAAUUUCUGCUUAGGCUGGUCAUUUUGAUUUUCAACCUAACGGGCUUUUCUUUUAUUUGAAGUUUUUAUUUCUAGGUAUAGACAUUCUUCACUAUGUCUGUGUUCAUAGGUUUGGGUAAAACAUUUCCAUCCAUGCCUUGCAAGACUAGAACAAGUUACAAAACUUUUGCAAAACUUUUGCACCAAUAUAAGGUAAUUGUCCAUUCAUCAAAUGCUCAUCUGAAAUAGCCGAAUAAGCGGACCAUUAUGCUAGCUUUGUUUGAUUAUUCCCAUAACUUCUUGCUCAUUCCCACAUUGCUCGAAGCUUCUAUGAUUCUGACUUGAUGCACAAACGUGUGGAGGAUCUUGGUUUGCCUCUUGUGUGACAAACUUGCAAGAAAAAAAUGCCUUUUUAUUGCUUCAACUCUUUCCUAGCUCGUCCUUUUGGGUUUUCAACCUGGUAGACUUUUAUUGAUACCCUAAUUUUUGCUUAGGUUUCCCUUUCGUGUUUUCAGCCUAAUAGGCUUUUUUUCCUUUCUUUUAGGCAUAGAAUAUCUUAAUCACGUCUGUGCUCACAAGUCUAGGUAAAAUAUUCUCAUCCAUGUCUUUCCCGAUAAGAGCCACCCAUUGAGAAUGCAUUCUUGACAAUGUAGGGACCUUCAUAGCUUGGGGCCUAUUUUCCAUGAGUGUCUUCCUAAUUUGGAAGGAUCUUUUUAAGCACCAAGUCCUCCGCUUUCAAUUCUCUAGAACGAACCUUCUUAUCAAAAGCUCUCGCCACUCUACCUUGCUAUAAUUGACCAUGACAAAUGGUCGCCAACAUUUUCUCUUCAAUCAUGUACAAUUGCUUAUACUUGAGCUUAACCCAUUUUGAUUCUUAUUGCUCUACUUCCAUCAAGACUCUUAACAAAGGAGUCUCUACUUAUAUGGGUUGAACAAAUUCCAUCCCAUACACCAUUAUUGUCUAUCAGAAAUUUAUGGUGCCCAACAUAUUCGUCCAUUAGGCAUAAUUUAUGACUCCUAUCCACACCAUCGACUAAAACAUCAAUACGAUUGGUGGAUUGAUUUUAUAUUAGGCUUGCUUUGUUCAUAUCUCUGUGAUCUACACACAUUCUCAAUUUCCAUCCUUUCUCGGGUACUAAUACCAUAUUAGCCACCCAUUCUUAGUUUCUCUCCAAUUGUUUUAUUACCUCUUAUUUUACUCCUCGACCUUCUUCUCGAUUACCAAACUCAAUGUGAUCAUUAUCAGGUACCGCAAAAGAAUCAAUUGAUAAAUGUUCAAGUAUCCUAUAAUUGGACAAAGUCUCUACAAAAUUCUGGUACAUGUAUUGAUUUGUGAAAUAUCGGUGAAAGAAAUGAGACACAAAAUAUGGAUGUUGGCAAUCAUAUGGAAGAAGGGUAAAUAUAUGAGAGUGGAGAUGAUACAAAUGGAUGAAUUGGUAGGAAUCAUUAGAUAGUCAUGCAAAUUCAAGAUAUUGUCUCAAGUAACAUAAAUAUAAGUCCAAAGAAAAUUCAAAACGUAUGAAUUACAACAUAAUCAAAUAAUUAUAAUGCAACUAUGUCAAUCAUUGGCUUAGACUACCAUUUUUUUAGAAAGAUCAUUGUCUUCACGAGGAAGGAUGACAUAAUUUAUUAAUGGUUUGUCUUCCUCUAAGACACUAAUGGAGAGGUGGAGAUAAGGAUCAAUGACAAAACCCUUUCUCAUCUUCCUGUCAUCUAUGUCGACACCUAUAUUCCUUCAUUUUGUGAAUUUUUUAGCCUUCAUUGUUGUUCGAGCUCUAGUGUUGAAAAUAUGAGUUUGAUUAGUGUUGUCAUUCUUAGGUUGCGCAAUGAUUCCAAUUUUAAAUUUGUGAUUCCUAAGGAGUUUGAUUUAAAAAAUUAUUUUGAGUUAUUGAAACUAUUUCCAUUAUCAAAUGAAGAACUUUCCAUAUAACAAGUUGAUCAUCCCACAAUCAUUUUCUAGGGUUAUAACCCCUCUAGAUAGCAUAGUGGUUGACGACAAUCCUAGAGAGCACACAAGCCCCACAAUAAGAUUGCAUUUGUUCUGCUGAGUAUUCAUGGUCUUAGGAUAUAUAGAAUGAGACAUUGCUCAACAAAAUAUCUUAAAAAACAUAUGAUAAUAGUAGUCCCUUCAUACAUGUGUAUGCAAUUGAUGUAUGAUUCGAUGCAUGCAUUUCACAUAACUGGCAUAAUGAAUGUUGCAGUGACAUGAAUGUAGUGUGAAUCCCCAAUUUUCUUUUCUUUUUCUUUCAUUUUUUUUGGACGUAACAUACAUGAUAUUGAAUGGUUUGUUGUAUGUAAAAGUUUUACAUGGGUGCAUGAAUGCAAGUAUGUAAUGCAUUUUUUUGUUUUUGUUUUUUUACACAUGACAUGCUUGUAGAUGCUACUAUGAAACAAUUUUUUUUAGUUCAUGAUAUGCACAUGGAUGUUAUGACUUUUUUUUUUGUUUUUUGCUUUUUUUAGUGCCUGAUAUGCAUGUGGAUGCUAUGAUUUUUUUUUCCUUUUUUAUUGACAUACAUAAAGAUACUAUUAUGGUAUUUUUCAUGAGUGCGUCGUAUGCAUGUGGAUGCUAUGAUGAUUUUUUUACAUGCAUAUAGAUCCUACUAUAAUUACUUUCAUGAGGGCAUGAUAUGCAUGUGGAUGAUUUUUUUGACAUGCAUAUAUAUGCUACUAUAAUUUUUUUUCAUCAGUGCAUGACAUGCAUGUGGAUGGACUAAUGAAAUGUUUUUUGUGAGCCUUUCAUAUUGGCAUGAUGAUAUCCAAGUGCAGCGGCUUACACCACUCAGGCUCAUGUGAUGGUGAGUCACUAUGAUCGCGAGAAAUUAGUUUUUCCAGCUGCAUGACAAAUAUGAAAUAAAUAACGAAAAAAUGUAUAGUAUCGUGUUCUAUAUAAGGGUAUUUGAUCCUACAAUGUUGGUUCACUCUAAAAGGUCACAUCCUAAGGCGAAGUACUAAUGUCCAUAUAUGCAGAAUUUAAUGGUACUAGACUUCCUCUAGGUCCUCGGACUGCCGUCACUAGUGGAAGCUGACCACCCAGAUACACAAAUAUGAUACGAAGAUGUACGAGACACCAUGAAGGUCAUAUCCAUAUUACCCAGUAACAAUUCGAGUGAUAUAUCAGUGUAAUAUCGAAAUAUGCACAGAGGCCCAAUGAUGAUAAGUCAAUGUAUCUCUAACAAUAGUAAAUAGGCACAGUAGACCGUUGAUGUAAUAAUGGAUGAUAGGUGCAGUACGUGCGAGAGUUCAAACCUCAACAAUUACAAUGCAUAAUAACCCAAAAUAUACCCCAAAACCUGUACAUGGUAAACACACACAACUUUUAUAUACAAAAGUUAUUUACAAAUAAAUAGUUAAAAAAUAACAACAAAAAAAAACAAAAAAUAAAAUGAAACGAUAAAAUUAAAAUAAUGAACUAAACAUCCACAAAAUUAAUCUUUUAAGACAUGACUUUCAGCUAUCCCUAGUGGAGUCAUCAUGUUGUCGCUAUCCCACUUUCAUGGGUGCGACGAGAAUAAUUCAAAUAAAUGCAAUAAAGUCGCCAUCGAUGUUUUUUAGCGAGAAAACAAGAAAAACCAAUUUUAAAAAUAAGUACUGAUUCGUUCAAAGAGAACAUUUAAGUUCGGGAGUCAGUUACUGAUGAGGAAGGUGUUAGACACCUCAUAUCGCUCUUUAAAAACGGUACCUAGAUUAAUAAUGUGGAUUUUCGUUCAAAAUAUUAAUUUUACCAUCAUAUUAUUAAAUGAAAUAAAGAAAAACCAAAAAAAAAUUAUAAUUUUUGUGUCUGACAGAGAAAUACCUGCUCCUACGUAUCUCUAGUUGCAAUAGAGAAAUCAAGGCUACGUAGUUCUUUCAGAAAAUAUUUGAUUAGUCGAUAUACUCUUAUUUAUUUUAUUUUAAUAAUAUGAUAAGAUAACGCGACAAGACACAAGUUCCAUAGUGCAUUAUCUCUUCUUGAUUUAAUUAAACUAUUUUUUUAUAAUGUCACUUUGAGAUAACACGACAAAGCACAAGUUACAUAGUGCACUACCUCUCUUUGAUUUAAUUAAAUUAUUUUUUGAAAAUGUCAAUUUGAGAUAACACGAUAGGGCAAUGGUCCUAGAGUGCACUAACUAUCUUUGAUUUAAUUACAUUAUUUUUUGAAAAUGUCAAUUUGAGGUAACGUGACAUAGCACAAGUCACAUAGUGACUACCUCGCAUUGAUUUAAUUAAGUUAUUUUGAAAGUGUCAAGUUAAGGUAACGCGACAUGACACUAGUAUCAUAGUGCACUGCCUCUUCUUGAUUUAAUUACAUUAUCUUUAAAAAUGUCAAUUUGAGGUAACGCGACAAGUUACAAGUCUCAUAGUGCACUAGCUCUCUUUGAUUUAGUCAAAUUAUUUUUUGAAAAUGUCAAUUUGAGGUAACGCGACAAGGUACAAGUUCCAUAGUGCACUAUCUCUCCUUGAUUUAAUUAAAUUAUUUUUUGAAAAUAUUAAUUUGAGGUAACGCGACAGAACACGAGUCACGUAGUGCACUACCUCUCUUUGAUUUAAUUAAAUUAUUUUUUGAAAAUGUUAAUUUGAGAUAACACGAUAGGGCAAUGGUCUCAAAGUGAUCUAGCUCUCUCUGAUUUAAUUAUAUUAUUUUUUAAAAUGUCAAUUUAAGGUAACGCGACAGGAAACUAGUCUCCUAGUGCACUACUUCUCCUUGAUUUAAUUACAUUAUUUUUUUAAAUGUCAAUUUGAGAUAACGCGAUAGGGCACAAGUCACAUAGUGACUACCUCUCGUUGAUUUAAUUAAGUUAUUUUUAAAGUAUCAAUUUAUGGUAAUGUGAUGUGACACAUGUCUCAUAGUGCACUAUCUCACAUUGAUUUAAUUAAAUUAUUUUUGAAAUUGUCAAUUUGAUGUAACGCGAUAGGGCACUAGUCUCAUAGUGCACUACCUCUCAUUGAUUUAAUUACAUUAUUUUUAAAAAUGUCAAUUUGAGUAACGCGAGAGGGCGCAAGUCACAUAUUGCACUAUCUCACAUUGAUUUAAUCAAAUUAUUUUUGAAAUGUCAAUUUGAGGUAACGCAAUAGGACACUAGUACCAUAGUGCACUACCUCUCCUUGAUUGAAUUAAAUUGUUUUUUGAAAAUGUCACUCUGAGGUAACGCGACAAGUCACUAGUCUUAUAAUACCUCUCCUUGGUUUAAUUACAUUUUUUAAUGUCAAUUUGAGAUAACACGACAGGGCAACGGUCACAUAGUGCACUAACUUUCUUUGAUUUAAUUACAUUAUAUUUUAAAAUUUCGCGACAAAGCACUAGUCUCAUAGUGCACUACCUCCAGUAGCGGAUGUUAGUGAGAGGUGGGGGCAACUGCCCCGGAUUUUUAUUUUCAAAUUUUAAUUAUAGUUUUUACUUUUUUUCUUCAACAUAUAUACUUUGUAUAAUUUGUGUGGUCUUUUUAAAAUCAUAGAUAAUUGAUCAAAUUCUUUUACAUAUAGAUAUUGAUAUUGUUUAUAAUAAUAUAUUCAUAAUUAUUUUACUCUUAUGAAAUAGAUUACGAGAAUCAUAUAUUGUGUUUGUCAAACUUUACAUCAAAAGUCCUAGGAUCCUAUCAAAUUUUAUAAAUUAUUUAAUAUUAUUGAUAGUAUAUAUAUUUUUGUGCAAAAAUUAUAUCCUAUAGAUUUCAAUGAAUAAGAGAAUAUUGACUUAAGAUGUCAAUGUCAAUAUUUUAUCAUUGAUGUUAUUGGUCAUUCUUGUCUAAAAAACUCUCAAUCAUCUAUGAAUUAAGUGUAACUUUGACAAUACAGGAAAUAUGAAAGCAUAUUAUUUAUAUGAUCGAGUUAUUCGUUUUAUCUUACCUUAUGUUUAACUGCUACACAUACAUCAUUUUCAUAACGAAGACAACCAAAUAAAAUCAUGUAGACAACAUGAUUAUUUAUAUUGAAAAGAAAAUAGCUUAAAAUUUUACUCAUAAUUCAAUAAUCGAUAGAUUGAUAUAUUUAAAAGAACGAAUAUCAUCACUUUAAAUAAAUACACAUUUUUCUUUAAUAUCCUCAAUUAUUAAUUAUUGUUAUUUAGAAUUAACAUAAUAUUUCGAAACUUAAUUAUAUUUCAUUACGUUUUUUUACUAAAUUAAUCUUAAUUAAAUAUUAUUGUUCCUCCUAAAUGUUGCACCAAGAUCCGCUACUGACUACCUCUCCUUAAUAUCAAUUUGAGCUAACUCGAUAGAGUACAAGUCACAUAAUUUAAUUAACUUACCUUUUGUAUUGCAUUUCCAUAUAUAUAAACGCUUUAUUGAUUUAUAAAAGAGAAUAUAAAAUAUAUACAUAAUAAAUAUAAAUAAAUAAAUAAAACUGAAUAAUGAAAUAAUGAAAAAACAAAUAUAAUAAAAAAAAAUGCAACAGUAACUAAAAACAAACAUAAUAAAGAGGAAAAUUGAUUUAGGGUUUUAAAAUUGAUUUGGGAACUUAUGGUAAAAUUGAUUUGGGGUUUAGGGUUAAAUUAAUUUAGGAAUUUGGUUUUAAACUUUAAUUAGGGAUUCGGUUAAAAUUAAAUCAAUUUAGGGAUCAGGGUUAAAUUGAAUUUGGAGUUUAAGGUUAGGGGUUACCAUGGAGAUAACCCCUUUUCUAGAAGGGGCUGUCGGGACAUUAGCGGUGGGAAUGGUUGCAGCAGCAACUCCACCGUCAGCCACAGUGGCUAAACCAUCAUGCUCUUGGGUUGCUGGAACAAGAAAAAAACAACUGCGGUGUGUCCAACAAUAAUUUUGGUUUUCAAAUACGGGAAUAAUUUUGGAUUCCCAUAUGGAAGAAGAAGAAAUAAGUGAGAGACAUACCUUUUAGAACUUAUGGAAGAUGAAGAAGAUUUAGUCUCCCUCUUCCCUCUUUUUCAAAAGUGAAUCAGCCUCAUUUGCUAAAGUAGGAUUAGGUUUUGUCUUUGCCUCUCUUUUUUUAGAAAUUUUGAUGAAUAGGUUUUAGUUGCUAUCUUUAGAUUUUAUAAAGGGAUGCGAUUAGGG